This is a non-coding RNA of Schizosaccharomyces pombe (fission yeast), 209 nucleotides long. The record is from the annotation of a GenBank genome assembly. Lineage: Eukaryota; Fungi; Ascomycota; Schizosaccharomycetes; Schizosaccharomycetales; Schizosaccharomycetaceae.
UUUAUAUGUCAGUAUAUUCGGCAUAUAUUUCGAGUCUAUUUAGAAAUUGCACAGGGGUACAAAAAAUUGAUUCAUAAGAAAAGGUGGAAACAUUUUUUAAAAUGACAAAGAGUCACAAAGGAAUUUGUAUUCUUUUCCUUUCUGAAAUGAAAUAAAAUCUAAUGUAGAAACUGCAAAGCUCAGUGCCUUAGGGUGCGUUACAGUUCGUA